This 218-nucleotide long non-coding RNA is filed under the name Elaeis guineensis (African oil palm). RNAcentral describes it as "long non-coding RNA (EGUI_LNC010134)". The record is from RNAcentral. Lineage: Eukaryota; Viridiplantae; Streptophyta; Magnoliopsida; Arecales; Arecaceae.
UGCUAAAAGAUAACAACCCAUAUCCUCAAAAAGAAAACAAAUGCAAUACCAAAAUGUUGGAAUGAUGAUUCCAACACUCUUAUUAGAAAGUUAGAAGGAUUCACAUUUUUUCGCAUGGAACCACCAUUAGAUCAUCCACUAGUUGCUUUGAAAUUUAUGCAAAUAGAUGAAUGACAGAGGUUGGAGUGUCGUGAGAGAUGUGCGGUGGGUAAUCCGUC